Molecule: ribosomal RNA, 398 nt
Filed under: uncultured bacterium
Lineage: Bacteria
Description: partial 16S ribosomal RNA
Rfam family: Bacterial small subunit ribosomal RNA
Source: RNAcentral
AUACGUAGGGUGCGAGCGUUGUCCGGAAUUACUGGGCGUAAAGAGCUCGUAGGUGGUUUGUCGCGUCGUCUGUGAAAUUCCGGGGCUUAACUCCGGGCGUGCAGGCGAUCCGGGCAUAACUUGAGCACUGUAGGGGAGACUGGAAUUCCUGGUGUAGCGGUGAAAUGCGCAGAUAUCAGGAGGAACACCGGUGGCGAAGGGGGGUCUCUGGGCAGUAACUGACGCUGAGGAGCGAAAGCAUGGGUAGCGAACAGGAUUAGAUACCCUGGUAGUCCAUGCCGUAAACGGUGGGCGCUAGGUGUAGGGGUCUUCCACGACUUCUGUGCCGUAGCUAACGCAUUAAGCGCCCCGCCUGGGGAGUACGGCCGCAAGGCUAAAACUCAAAUGAAUUGACGGGG